AGAUUCUGAAUUUUAAAAGCUGCUGAAUUUCUUACUUUGAAUUUUUUUUUGCAUCAAAAUUACGUAUGUGAAUUUUUUAUGCCUGAAUUUAGCUCAUCAAAAUUCUAAAAACCAGUUAAAAAUUCAAUGUCUUCAAAAUUCACCAUCAAAAAAUUCAAUGUUCAAAAUUCGCCAUCAAAAAAUUCAAUGUUCAAAAUUCGCCAUCAAAAAAUUCAAUGUUCAAAAUUCGCUGUCAAAAAAUUGGCUGUUCACAUCUGGGGGACUCAGGCGUAAACAAUCGAUCCUGGCCAAAAUCGAACCAACGCCCAGCCAAUCACGUGGCGCUCCUCCGGUCAUGUGACGCAGACGGUUCACCUCACAAGACCGGGGUCAACCACGGUUACCAGCAUGAACGACGGCGCUUCACAACACCGUCUGAACUGACCAGUCUGGUGAAAUUCUGGACUGGAUGGGAGACUCUACCAAGAACUCUCUCCACAGAAGUAGUGAAUGGCAGAUACCUGACAGCCUCCACCUGCUAUGAGACCUUACAUUCCCAGGACAUUACAAGGACUACACAUCAUUUAAGACUGACAUCCUGGCCUGUAUUUGCACUUGCCAGUCAAGAUAUGUUAGGUGUUGUUCUCUAGUUAGUUUUACUUGACUGACAAAACUAAGUGCACUUUUGGAUUCCCUCCCCUACCUGUUCUCCCAACUCACCUGACAGGUUAUCUGGCUCAAUAAGGCAGCAUCAGGAGACAAACAUGGAGGAAAUAUGAGAACAGAGAGAACCCAACCAGCAGGUCACAGUUUAUCAUCAUCUAAUCAUCUCCUGAAGUCCAUAUGGUAAGUGGACAUCAUGAUGAGAUCAGCUAGAUUUCCUACAGUAUAUGGCUGUGAAUUUACCAGAGGAUGCUUAUAAUAAUGCUGAUGUGGCCGUAGGCUCUACACU
Molecule: long non-coding RNA, 931 nt
Organism: Amphiprion ocellaris (clown anemonefish)
Lineage: Eukaryota; Metazoa; Chordata; Actinopteri; Pomacentridae
Exons: 3
Source: RefSeq, a predicted model, not a curated record